CGCGAAUUCGCCCUUCGGGGUGCAGCAGGCGCGAAAACUUUACAAUGCCGGCAACGGCGAUAAAGGAACCUCGAGUGCCAGGUUACAAAUCUGGCUGUCGUGAUGCCUAAAAAGCAUUGCAUAGCAAGGGCCGGGCAAGACCGGUGCCAGCCGCCGCGGUAACACCGGCGGCUCGAGUGGUAACCGUUAUUAUUGGGUCUAAAGGGUCUGUAGCCGGCCGGGUAAGUCUCUUGGGAAAUCUGGCAGCUUAACUGUCAGGCUUUCAGGAGAUACUGCCUGGCUCGAGGCCGGGAGAGGUGAGAGGUACUUCAGGGGUAGGGGUGAAAUCUUGUAAUCCUUGAAGGACCACCAGUGGCGAAGGCGUCUCACCAGAACGGACCUGACGGCAAGGGACGAAAGCUAGGGGCACGAACCGGAUUAGAUACCCGGGUAGUCCUAGCCGUAAACGAUACUCGCUAGGUGUCGGCCACGGUGCGACCGUGGUCGGUGCCGUAGGGAAGCCGUGAAGCGAGCCACCUGGGAAGUACGGCCGCAAGGCUGAAACUUAAAGGAAUUGGCGGGGGAGCAC
This 568-nucleotide ribosomal RNA is filed under the name uncultured archaeon. RNAcentral describes it as "bacterial SSU rRNA". It matches the Rfam family "Archaeal small subunit ribosomal RNA", at positions 311 to 879 of the family's 1478-position model. The record is from RNAcentral.